RNAcentral lists this ribosomal RNA (480 nucleotides) under uncultured bacterium. RNAcentral describes it as "partial 16S ribosomal RNA". It matches the Rfam family "Bacterial small subunit ribosomal RNA", at positions 28 to 507 of the family's 1533-position model. The record is from RNAcentral.
GACGAACGCUGGCGGCGUGCUUAACACAUGCAAGUCGAACGAUGAAGAAAAGAAUUGAAGCUUCGGCAGAAAUUCAUUUCGGAUUAGUGGCAGACGGGUGAGUAACGCGUGAGCAACCUACCUCUUACAAAGGGAUAGCCUCGGGAAACCGGGAUUAAUGCCAUAUAACAUUGCGACGAAGCAUUUCGAUGCAAUCAAAGCUACGGCGGUAAGAGAUGGGCUCGCGUCCCAUUAACCAGAUGGUGAGGUAACGGCUCACCAUAGUAACGAUGGGUAACCGGCCUGAGAGGGUGAACGGUCACACUGGAACUGAGACACGGUCCAGACUCCUACGGGAGGCAGCAGUGGGGAAUAUUGCACAAUGGAGGGAACUCUGAUGCAGCGACGCCGCGUGAGUGAUGAAGGAAUUCGUUUCGUAAAACUCUGUUCUAUGGGAAGAAAAGGACUGUACCAUAGGAGAAAGCUCCGGCUAAAUACGUG